AUAAUGUGAGAGUUAUUAAAAAGUAUUCAAAAUUAGUAAUUUCAAAAAAGAAAAAUAUAACUUUCAUACAAACAUAUAUUUUCAUUUGGGAAAUACUAUGACCAAUGGUGAUUAGUUUUGAGACGAGCCAAUACGAGCGCAGAAUCUGGCGCCGCAUAAGAACUGAUUUCCGGGUUUUCACACGAGGUAUAUGCGUGAAGUUAAGAGGCAACUCUCUCUCGUGUGCACGGAUGCCUGAUGAGUGCUAUGUCUCGAUGCUCCGGGAAACAGAAAUAUAGAAAUUAGCCUUAUAGAUUGUCGAUGGAUUGAUGGUAAAGGGAGCGAUUGUAAUGUGGAGUGCUGUGCCUGCACCAUUCUGGAAUAGUCUGAGUUAAACGAUCUCCUUGGUCAGGUUUUUUUCUUCUGUUAUAUCUUUUCCAAAUUCGCUGUGUAUACUGGAUCUGUCCUGGCCUUCCAGUGGUUCUUAGGAGGGUUGGACUGGCGAGCCUCCCUUGAGUUUGUUCUUGGAUCUUUCUGUUGAAGAAGUAUUCGCACUGAUUCAACUGUGAAUGGUAGGAAAAGGACUAACGUUCCUCAUCUUUUAUUUUUUUUUCCGGAUGGAGACUUUUUUCAUUACCAACAGAUAAAGGACAAUUAUUUAAUUUAUUUUUUAUUUUUUUAUUUUUUCUAAAACUUUUCAAAGCACUCUUUCACAAGGACUGCAAUUCUGAUUGGAUUUCAUUGUAAAAAAAAAAAAAAAAGAGAAGAACCAUUUGUUGUGAAAUUGGGUUGUAUGUUGUUUAUUUAGGAUUUACCCUGUUGAAACCCAAAAGAGAAAAAAAACUGAGAUCUAAAGUGUUGAAAUCUUACAUUCUGGUUGGAAAGGAAAUACAUAUCUACAUUUUAUUUCAUUUCAUUUUAUUUGUUAUCAACCAAUGUAAUUCACCUGUUGUCAUUCACCUGAAAAUACAGUGUGUUUUCAAACGAGUAUUCACUGUUGUUGUGGCAUCUUUCUCAGCAGCGAAUCUGUUUCUUCUGAAACGCUGGUCCAUAGAUCUCAUUAGGUUAAUAGCCAGAG
Carassius auratus (goldfish) is the source of this 1057-nucleotide long non-coding RNA. RefSeq lists it as uncharacterized. NCBI's taxonomy places the organism in Eukaryota, Metazoa, Chordata, Actinopteri, Cypriniformes, Cyprinidae. The record is from RefSeq and is a predicted model, not a curated record. The transcript is spliced from 3 exons.